CUAUAAUUGGCCAAAGUGUUAAAAUUUGAGUCACCUAUGAUACAAAUUUUCAUCAAGAGGACUAGGAAAUUAAAUAAAUGGUUGAUAUAUAACAAAUAUUGACAAAUUUAGCUGUAAUAAUUAAGCUUGACCAUCCUUAAGGGCGUGUUUGGUUCGCGCGCACUAUGAAAGAUUACUAGCAAUAAAAAGAUAUCCGAGAAUAUUAUUCAUAUUCAUUCUAUUACUAAGAAUGUAGCAUUCCUGUGUUUGGUUUGCACGGUCAUAUUAUUUAGUCAUGUUAUUUAAGUUUACAAAAAAUAUACAAUUUAUUUAUUUAUUUAUUUAUUUAAUUUUAGAUAAUGCUACAAAAAAUUUCAACAUUUUUUAGAAAAAAGGGGAAGAGAACAUAGGUUAGAGAGAGAGAGCAUAAUUAAAGAAAUAGAAAGAAAAAUGCAGUCGAUAUUAGAGGGAGCGAGAGAGUUGAGAUUUUAGAAACAGAGGAGAAGAGAGAGCUUAGUUUAAAGAGAGAAAAAAAGUUGAAGUUUAGAGAGAAAAAAAUAAGUAUAGAGAGAGAUAUGAGGUUAGAGUGUAAAAAAAAAUAUAGCUGACGAGUAUGGAGAAAAAAAGAGAUUAGACAUAUUAUGAUUAUCCUAAUCCAUUAAUAGGAGGCUACACACCCUCCAUCAAGGGAAUAAGAUUAGUGCUUUGGGAUGAAUCUCAUUCCUGAGUAAAUCUAAUAUUACCAACUAGAUUACUUAGUGCGUUUAGCCAAACACCGUCAUAUUUUUUAAUUCUUAUUGGAUUACUAGGAAUCUUAAAAAAUAGCGCGAACCAAACGCACCCUAAGUGUGUUGCGGAAAAACCAUAUGAUUAUUUCAUUGCAGUUAACAAUUAUAACCAUGAAUUAAGCAACACAUGAUAAUCUUGGUAUCAUAUUAUAUUUUUUAUUGAAAAUAGUAGAUAUAUAAAAGCCUUUUUUUAAUUCCUUUUGUGACGCCCUAUAUCCCACGGUGGUCAUCCAUCUUAGAACAACUCUUAGUUCUAGUUAACAGGCUUAACCAUCUUAAACUCUUAGAUCUAACCUUCAGUUAACAUGCUAUAACUGGGUUAAGAGAUCCAAGUUCUAGGAGUGUCACUUUUCUCUUCCCUUUAAGUCCUGACAUCUUUUUCAGAUUCAAUCACACUCACAAGCACACCAAACGAUACGAGAAUCAUCCAGAAAGCCACACUCUGCCUGUUGUAUGACGAUGAGAUUAUUUGGUUCGGGUAUAAGAAAGAGCUGUCUAUUCUAGAGAUAAGUAUAAGUUUAGGUAUUAGUAAGAACUAGAUUAAUUUCGUGUUUGAAUGAAAAUUGGUUAUUCUCAGGAGUAAAAAAAAUAGCGUUUUGAUAGAUAAAAUAAAAUAAGAAGGAUAGUGGGUAGUUACAAAUAAAAAAUAAUAAUAUCACCCCUCUCAUUAUAUUUGAAUUUAAAUUUUUAAACUUUAUAUUUAUAUUUUUAAAUUUAAAAUUUUAACUUUUAAAUUUUAAAUUUUGAAACUAACAUUUCAAAUUUAAAUCUCAAAUUUUAAAUUCAAAUUUUUAAAUUUUAAAUUUCAAACUUUAAAUUUAAGAUCAAAUUUAAAUUUGAAAAAUAUAAAAUAUCAAAUUUUCAAUUUUAAAAAUUUAAAAUAUCACAAUU
This 1658-nucleotide long non-coding RNA is filed under the name Ananas comosus (pineapple). RNAcentral describes it as "long non-coding RNA (ACOM_LNC004965)". Lineage: Eukaryota; Viridiplantae; Streptophyta; Magnoliopsida; Poales; Bromeliaceae. The record is from RNAcentral.